UAAGACGGAGGGGGCUAGCGUUGUUCGGAAUUACUGGGCGUAAAGAGCGCGUAGGCGGCUUUGCAAGUUGGAAGUGAAAGCCCGGGGCUUAACCUCGGAAUUGCUUUCAAAACUGCAUAGCUAGAGUGUAGUAGGGGAUGAUGGAAUUCCUAGUGUAGAGGUGAAAUUCUUAGAUAUUAGGAGGAACACCGGUGGCGAAGGCGGUCAUCUGGGCUACAACUGACGCUGAGGUGCGAAAGCGUGGGGAGCAAACAGG
Molecule: ribosomal RNA, 256 nt
Filed under: uncultured bacterium
Lineage: Bacteria
Description: partial 16S ribosomal RNA
Rfam family: Bacterial small subunit ribosomal RNA
Source: RNAcentral